GGAAGCGUGCCCGAACAGCCCAAGGACUACUUUGAUAGAGUACAUAAUAGAGGUUUAAGUCCUCUCACUUCCU
RNAcentral lists this transfer RNA (73 nucleotides) under Heteronotia binoei (common prickly gecko). RNAcentral describes it as "tRNA-Ile". The record is from RNAcentral. Lineage: Eukaryota; Metazoa; Chordata; Lepidosauria; Squamata; Gekkonidae.